UUUUUUUUCCACACUUUUUUUUUACAUCGUCUUUUUAUCAUACAUACUAAAAACUAAAACUAACAGUUCGCAAUCGAUGAGUUGAUGCUUAUCGAAGAUAUCGCGUAUAACGUUCGGGACUUCCUCGGGAUUUGUUACAAUAGAUACGAUGUUGGAGAAUCGCGUAUAUUUUCACAACAUCGAUCGUAUCGACGAGUUUGAUUAGUCAAUUGAAUGUUACAUUAAUACAUUCGGCGAGAUUAAACAUACGGUGUAACGUUGAUUCGACCAUCAUCAUGCGUACGUUUAAAAAUUCAAGACGUACGAAUGUAACGUCGUUCAUCAUGCAAACUCGAACUAUUAAUGGUCCGACGCUUAUAAAAUUGUCUUUGUAAUUGUUUCGUAAUUUGUAGAUAUUCCAUCAUUGCUGCUCAUAGAGUCUCUUCCACGUUUCGAAAAACAGUAUCAGUCCUGUCCUCGAUGAUCUCCUAAGGCGAUCUCCACGUAACGCUCGGUGGACCAACAUUGAUUCCAAUUUCCACAAACUUGAAGUCCAUAACCGUCAGGGUGUAACAUCUACUCAGUAAGCGCACCGCGCGAUGCUCCAUCGAAAUACUGUGUAAUGGAAAUUAAGUACAUAAUAUUGCGUAAUUGCAAAAAAAAAAGAAAAAAAAAUAGUCGACACUUACACGUUAUGUUCCUUUUUUGUUUCACCAUCGUACAAUGCGCUGGCGGAGUACAUGCGUGUGGACCGUUUGUACAAUGAAUGAUGGAGGACCAAUCACAUCCGCGUAAAUUUUGACAUAGCAGAGCAUAAAUCACCUCUUUCAAAAGGAGGGGAUGGAAAAGAUCCAAUGGCCUCGCUGAACGGCAGCACUCUACUACGAUCACAUCGGGAACGAGUUUACUUUAUAGUGACUAUAAACAGAAAAAAGACAAAGGAUCGCAUUAUCAAUUAGUUAUCAGAUUUUCGUUUCAAAAAGACCAAAUUAGCUGUAUCAAAAAAUAUGUAAAGUGCCAUGUAAAAAGAAAAAUGUGAAUAAAAAGUUUUACGCUUAAAUUAUAAUACAAUUUCUUUGUCAUCGACGAGUCUGACUAGUCGAUUGAACGUUAUUGAAAAAAAUGUAUAGGAUCGUUGGAAUAUUAAGUAAUCAUCAUCAUCAACGAUAAUGACGGAGAAA
This is a long non-coding RNA of Pogonomyrmex barbatus (red harvester ant), 1160 nucleotides long. The record is from RefSeq and is a predicted model, not a curated record. Lineage: Eukaryota; Metazoa; Arthropoda; Insecta; Hymenoptera; Formicidae.